GUGGGGAAUAUUGGACAAUGGGCGCAAGCCUGAUCCAGCCAUGCCGCGUGAGUGAUGAAGGCCCUAGGGUUGUAAAGCUCUUUCACCGGAGAAGAUAAUGACGGUAUCCGGAGAAGAAGCCCCGGCUAACUUCGUGCCAGCAGCCGCGGUAAUACGAAGGGGGCUAGCGUUGUUCGGAAUUACUGGGCGUAAAGCGCACGUAGGCGGACAUUUAAGUCAGGGGUGAAAUCCCGGGGCUCAACCCCGGAACUGCCUUUGAUACUGGGUGUCUGGAGUAUGGAAGAGGUAAGUGGAAGUCCGAGUGUAGAGGUGAAAUUCGUAGAUAUUCGGAGGAACACCAGUGGCGAAGGCGGCUUACUGGUCCAUUACUGACGCUGAGGUGCGAAAGCGUGGGGAGCAAACAGGAUUAGAAACCCUAGUAGUCC
This 425-nucleotide ribosomal RNA is filed under the name uncultured bacterium. RNAcentral's name for it is "bacterial SSU rRNA". It matches the Rfam family "Bacterial small subunit ribosomal RNA", at positions 354 to 796 of the family's 1533-position model. The record is from RNAcentral.